RNAcentral lists this ribosomal RNA (91 nucleotides) under bacterium. Its description in RNAcentral is "partial 23S ribosomal RNA". It matches the Rfam family "Bacterial large subunit ribosomal RNA", at positions 2289 to 2379 of the family's 2925-position model. The record is from RNAcentral.
CCUAAAAAGUAACGGAGGUGUUUAAAGGUUGGCUAGCUCCGGAUGGAAAUCGGAGUGAUAGUGUAAAGGCAUAAGCCAGCUUUAUUGCAAG